Long non-coding RNA from Anas platyrhynchos (mallard), 4339 nucleotides. RefSeq lists it as uncharacterized. NCBI's taxonomy places the organism in Eukaryota, Metazoa, Chordata, Aves, Anseriformes, Anatidae. The record is from RefSeq and is a predicted model, not a curated record.
UAGCAGGUUCUCUAGCCUUUUGAAAUGCCACCCAGAAAUGAUUAAUUGGUGGAGGUCAUGGCUGAAGGUGACAAAUGCCUUGUGAUGGACAAAAGAAAGCAUGUGAACUGACCUAGUUUCAGUUCUGGCAGUGGGAGAUAAUUCUGCAUGGUCCUUGGUCAUUAGACCUAACUCUAGAAAAUGAAGUUACCUAUUCUGCCACCAUCACUAAUGAGUGUGGCUGUUGUCCAGCAUUCAGAAAAGAGAAUUAGAAGGCAAGUCAGCUUUAGAACUCAGCUUCUCAUUGUGUAGAGGGGACAUGAGGUCUCAUCCCAUAAGGAUGAGACUUAGAUUAUGAGCUCUUUAAAACUUCAGGAGUCAGGUGAAAUGUGAUAAGACGUUGAUGUUUUUCAUAAUUCAUUAAAUGACAGAAGCUUUAGUUUAUGCUCACGUACCCUAAAGUAUCAUCAAGAAGAUAUGCAACAAAUCAUGAAAUCAGCCCAUUGAAUCAGUUUGAGAUUGCAAUAAAAUAGUCUUGCUUGAAUUCUUGUGAAAGCACUGUCCUUGGUGGUGUGUCAGCUUUGUUAGCAGGAAAUGCAGAUGCUGAUGCCUAUCCUCACUGGUAAAUACUUGGAAGAUGUGGACCUCUUAGGCGAUAAUCACAGCACAAAUAGUUGUGCAUGGAUCAAGUUUUAUGUACAAGUAUUUGGUGGAGUACAGAAACUACGAAUUCACUGUACAAAGUCUUUCUAUAACCAAGAUGUGCAUGUGAUUUUCUUCAAGUGCAAUCGGCACAGAGCCCUUAAGUGUAGGUCUGUUUUAGAAGUUCUUGUAGGAGUGUGUGUGUGUACACACAUGUACCUAAACUGAAUCACGAGUGUACGUGCAUACAGAACAAAGGCACGAUUACAUCUGAUCAGAGUAAAUGAAGAGAAAGUAAUAAAAGCAUAUCCCAGAAGGUGAAAUUAUUCUACUCUUUCACUCUGCACCAGGAAGUGGCUGCGAAUGAGAUUCAAUCCUUUUGACGUUACCAGUUUUACAGCUGCAAAAGCCUUUGGUCUUGACGGCUGUUUAAUUCAAACAUAUUUUUGAAGGUACUUGAGGACACCUUGAAACAAUUAUUAAAUAAAAUAUUUCACCUGUGCUUAAUGUAAUUGUUAGAUCUAUUAUCUUUCCUAAGUAGUUUAAGUCAAAUUCAGGCUAUUUUGAUUCAAUUUGAGAUGGGAUGAAAUAAGACCUCUUAAAUAGUGAGAAUGUUUUUUCUCUGUUUCUUGUGAAUUAGUGAUUAUUGCCAUGUCCCUGGACCUGCCUUUCCUUUGCAGAUCCUGUAGGUUCUACAGGCUUCUACCAGUUCCACACAUAACAUUGUGAAAGGUUCCUCCAAGACCAGCCACAGCUCCCAUGUCUUCACUUCCUUAUGGGAAAGGACAAGGGCAUACCUUGCUUUUUGUGGCCUUUUCUGUCGGAUGAGGUUCUUGAGCUGAUAAUGCAGGAAACUGUCAGAUGUUGGGAAACAAGGUCGCCCAGCAGUUUCAAGUGGACAUUUGUACACUUCUGCAAGAGAAAAUACAUCUCUGAGCAGACAUACUUCAGGGGAGGUUCUCAGAUCACAACUAGUGGAGCAGAUGCGCUGAGAAGAGGCACUUUCAGUGGUGUGUGCGGCAGAUUCAGCAGAUCCAGCCUCCUAUUUCCUGUUCUUCCAGUAUCAUCUGUUACUCAUGACGGCAUUUUGUAUAUUGUCCUUACACAACUGGCAGAGAGGUCAAAGUAAAGUGAAAUGAAUUGCAUGAAUGGUGCAAACUGUAAUGCAAAUUCUGAAAAAUAAUUAUUUUUGGAUGAUGUUUUGACAUGUUUUUUGAAGGUUACAGUUGUACUAGCUUCUACUCUGUUCAUACCACAAGGUAACAGAUAUUGUGAAUCUGAGGAGAUGAGAUACAGUGAGAAGUGUACAAAAACUUAUUUUGUAUGGCCAACUAUGAAAAUUAUUGUUAAUAAAUUAAAAAAAAAAAAGGCUGAUAUCACAGCUGAGCCAUCUCUCUAUAAACCAAACAGAAAAUCAAACUUUGACAAAAAGCCUGUGAGAAAUUCUUUAAAUCCCUUCCCCUUUUAUCUCUGCUUCUUUGCCUGGAAACUGAUUCAUGCCUAUUGGAGUUGAAAUUCUGCUGUUCUGUCAGCUAGUCAGCAUCUGAAGGGAGAGGUGAGAUUUCAGAACUUUUUUGUUUUGUUUUGUUAUGUGUUAAUAAAAAAGACCAUCAUUUUUUAUUUAUUUAGAAUUUUGCAGUGUGUCAUGCACAUCCUUCUUUGCAAUAUGUCUAAGUUUCUUGGGGGAUUGGAGGUGAGUGUUUUUCUGUGAUGAUUAAAUAUCCCAAGUAUGGGCAGAUCCUCAGCUAACAAAUCAAUGUGCAGGUAGUUCCCAAGAGGUCAGAACAAAUGGUCCAAUGCUAAUCUUACACUAGCUAAAACAUGCAAGUCUUAGUUCUGGUAACGUUUGGAGAUAGUAGCUAUUAAAAUUGACCUGCAAUCCCCACUUGACAAAAACGGUGCCAGAUUCUCUCCAAGACCCUGUCUAUUUAAGGAUUUCCACCCAAAUAAUUAGGAUCAGAUCACAUUUUUGAUAGCUGUGUGAAGAGCUGUGCAGGAACUUGAGGCUGGAAUUUGUAGGAGCCAGAAGGUUAUCAAAAAAGGUGUGUGUGAUUUCAAAGCUUUGCCUGCCUUAGUUUUCAACUAAGUAUUGGGACUACAGGGAGGAAGAGGAGGGUUUGAUUAUUUUUUUUAAGAUUUUGAAAGAUUAUGCCUUUGUUAUUUGUUGACUGGUGUAGCUUAUCAAAGCUCUUAGUUAUUUGCAGGAUGUUCCACAAAUCAAAGUCUGUUUUUGCUUUUGAUUUAAAAAAAAAAAAAAAAAAAGGUUAAGAAAAGACCCCUGGUUGCUCCCUGAAUGUCAUCAGGUGGCUUGAGCUUAUCUCAGUCAUAUGGGGAUGUCUGCAGCGGGUCCUGCAGUGCCAGGGAGGGUCAUUUUAGGAAACUAUAUGGUUUAUGGGAUGACGUUUCCAUCACCAGGAAAAGAUGCUGUACUGUCAUGGUAAAGUAUGUGGGGGGAGGGAAGCCGAGUAGUUGUUGUGCUGGAAAACUGCAACCUAGAAAUUACUGUUGUGACUCAUUAGAUGAUAUCAUUUGGAAACUGAGUAAUUACAUCCUAUCCCCCCCUUGUAUUUGACUUGGGGUGAUGUACUGGAGCACUGGUGUGUCUGACAGCUAGGUGACCUUUCAGUGAAGCGUCUGGCUGCAUCAAGGAUGGUUCCAUGGUGUAGAAGAGCAUGAAUUCGUUGUGUACCAGAAUUAUGCUGGAGGUCCCGAUACCUUUGUUUUGGUUCCCCUGUGUGUUGCUAAAUGAGCUCUUGAAACAAAGCCAGAAGAGGAAAAGCGGAGAGAAGUGUAUUUUUUGUUGAUUAAUACACAUGCCCUGCGUUGUGUUGUGUAACAGGAAGGACUGAGGACAGGUUUGUUUUUAUUGCAGCUAUCUGCACAUCUUUGUGCUUGAUACAGCCACAGACCUUCAGACCUGUGCCCACAAGAGAGUGGUGUUGAGCCAUCCAUUUGCAUACCAGGUACAAGGAUUGAAUUUACAGGGUUUUUUAUACGUAAAGUACAAUUUGACCAGUUCGGAUUCCCAAAUAAAAUGUGACUUUUCAAUCAAAUACGCUUUAUGCUGAUUUGCAGUAAUAUACAUAUUUUGAAAUUCAGCUGUUUUAGAAUAUAAAGGAACUGUAAAUGCACCAGCUGUUGUUUCUGUCAUAUUAUUUCUACUGUAUGUGUCCACGUGGUUUUUUACUUAUUACUGGAAGAAAAUAAACCAUUUUGAACCUGCUUACAGCCAGGGCUGGUCAUUCAGUGUGGAUGUGCCCCUCCAAGGUUUCCUAGGUUGUUUGGGGUUGUAGUCUGCCUGGUGGUGCUGACAGGGCUCUGAGUGUAAGUCCUCUUGGCUGUGACUUGGGGUUACAGCUAGUCAGGCAGGAAGGGAGGGCUCUAAUUUCUGUGCUGGAUGAUGCACGUUAAGGCUCUGAGCUGGUGAAGUGGCUCUCAUUCAGAAUAUUUGUAUGUAAGCACUUGAGACUUUGGAAAGAUCACAACCUGUAGCAGCUCAUGCUGAAAAAAUUGGCCUUCCCUAUUGGAAGUAAGUGCUGACAGUGGUUAUCGUUGAUGUGUUUGAAUAUGUACGUUAUUAGCACGUGUUCAUUUUUGUUCUCUGUACUGGCUCACAUUACUACUUGACUUGCUCUUUCCAUUUCACCUCAAACUAAUGAAAACUGAAAUGUCUCCUGAAAGCUCAUUGUUUACUGAAAUUUGUAUACUCCAAAAAAAA